Mus caroli (Ryukyu mouse) is the source of this 1464-nucleotide non-coding RNA. The record is from RefSeq and is a predicted model, not a curated record. Lineage: Eukaryota; Metazoa; Chordata; Mammalia; Rodentia; Muridae.
GGGGUCCUUCAGUUUGAAGCAGGCAUCGGAUGAUGGCCUGGAAGCGACAGCUAAUUCUUUUUGGUGGCUUCCAUGAAAGUGCAAGGGACUACAUCUUCUACAGUGAUGUGUACACCUUCAGCCUGGACACCUUCCAGUGGAGCAAGCUGUCCCCAUCAGGCCCCGGGCCCAUGUCCAGAUCAGGCUGCCUGAUAGCUGUCACUCCCCAGGGCAGCAUAGCCAGCUAUGGAGGUUACUCAAAGCAGAGAGUCAAGAAAGAUGUGGACAAAGGCACCCAGCACUCAGACAUGUUCCUGCUGAAGCCCGAGGAAGGGGGAGAAGGCAAAUGGGCUUGGACCAGGAUUAACCCUUCAGGGGACAAGCCUACUGCAAGGUCUGACUUUCUGCGGCCGUGGCUCCAAAUCAUUAGAUACUGGUUUUCAGGGGCGUGUGUGAGGAGGAAGAGGAGGAGAGCCUGGAGGGCUCCUUCUUCAGUGACCUGUAUAUCUACGAUGCUGCCAAGAGUCGCUGGUUUGCAGCACUGCUGAAGGGCCCCAAGUCGGAGAAGAAGAAAUGGAGGCGGGGCAAGGCAGAGGACCCUGAAGGCGCCACUGAACAGGAGACUGGGGGGAGCAGUGCCCCAGAGCCACUGGAGGUGUCUGAAGACGGGACAGUGGUCACCAUUAAGCAAAUGCUUACUCUCUCGGGGUUGGAGGUGCAGCCUCCACCUAAGGCUAAUGACAGUGCCUCAGAGGCUAGCAGCACUGGGCAGGAGCCAUGUCCUUGUUCCAACGCCAUGCUGGCUGUCAAGCAUGGACUGCUCUAUGUCUACGGUGGCAUGUUUGAAGCUGGUAACCUCCAGGUGACCCUUAGUGACCUCUACUGCCUUGACCUUCACAAGAUGGAAGAGUGGAAAAUCUUGGUGGAGAUGGAUCCAAAAUCCCAGGAGUGGCUGGAGGAGUCGGACUCUGAAGAGGACAGCAGCUCAGAUGAAGAGAGUGCAGACAGAGAGGAUACAGACAGAGAGGAUAAAGACCAGGAGGACGACAGUGCUGAGGAGGGAGCAGAUCCGCAGCACCCAGAGGUGGCACGUGGGGAGAAAUAUGAAGAGUACCUGUCCCGGACUGAACAGCGCUGGCUGAAACUUGCCCGGAACCACGUGGGGCCUGAAGCAAAGGAGAAGAAAGUGUUGAAAGUAGCCCAGGCCAUGGCAAAAUCAUGCUUUGAUGAUGCAGUUCAAGACAUUGCACAGGCCAGACAUUAGACUGCGUGAUGGUUUCACCAUCACUGGUGUCGAGCCAGGAGUGAGGAGACCCUGCAGAGUGCUCUUCUGUGAGCCUCGGGUGCCCACAGUCUGACGGGGGUUGGCCUGCCUUCACAGUGGCUUCUGUCCUCACGGAGCGAGGGUUAGAGUGGGAUGUGAAUUUGAGGCCCAUAGGCUGUGUGCUUCUGUCCUAAUAAAACUGGGCUGUGUGCUCUAAAAUA